UUUUGCUAGUACACCACUAAGCUCUUUAAUAGUUUUGGGUGUAUUCCAUCAGGUCCCAUUGACUUAUUUGUCUUUACUUUUGACAGUUGAAAUAGAACCUCUUCCUCUGUAAACUCAUUUAUCCUUUUUCUUAACUGAGGUUCCUUUCCUUCAUUUUCAUCUGUAAAUACAGAACAAAAAUAUUCACUGUGGCAGUCAGCUAGACCUUUAUCCUCUUCUACAUACCUUC
Molecule: non-coding RNA, 229 nt
Organism: Pelobates cultripes (western spadefoot toad)
Lineage: Eukaryota; Metazoa; Chordata; Amphibia; Anura; Pelobatidae
Source: the annotation of a GenBank genome assembly